This is a non-coding RNA of Nicotiana tabacum (common tobacco), 3577 nucleotides long. The record is from RefSeq and is a predicted model, not a curated record. NCBI's taxonomy places the organism in Eukaryota, Viridiplantae, Streptophyta, Magnoliopsida, Solanales, Solanaceae.
UCUUAAUUCCUCAGUCCAUCAGUUGCUCGCCGUCUCUGCUCCGUCUGCUCCAUGUCUCUGCUUUUCUACAGAGAUUUAGCAUUCUUUUUGUUCCGUCAACAUACACUUCAAGUGUCUGGAGCUGUAUUACUCUACAAACAAGACUAUAGUGAGACUUGACUAUGUUUCUGACAAGCAAUGUCCACCCGCGUUCUUCUGCACGUGAGUGCGUUUUCUCUAUCCCAAGUGAACUCCCAACGUCUCUUUUCCGUGGAGUAUGCUGUAAAGUCAGGGGCGGAUCCAGCCUUUUGGUACCGGGUUCAUCUGAACCCAGUACUAUCGACGUGGAGCACAAAUUUAUGUUAAAUUAUAACAAAUAGUAGUUAUGAAUCCACAACUUUAAAAAUAUAAUCGGUUCAAGGCUAAAAAUCUUAAAAAUUGAACCCAUAGAAUUUAAAUCCUAGAUCCGCCUCUGUGUAAAGUUGUUGAAAAAGUUAGUUGAUGAUGGAACUUCAAGUUGGGAAAAGCUGUUCAUGCACUUCUUGUUGUUUCUAGUAAUGUCUCAGAAGACCACAUAAUUCAGAAUAAUUGUCUCAUUAAUCUCUACUCGAGGUGUGGACAACUUGCUGUUGCUCGGCAGGUGUUUGACAGAUUGAGUCAACGAAAUGUAGUUUCUUGGAGCUUUUUAAUGGCAGGGUAUUUGCACAAUGGGUAUGCUUGGGAAGUAACCAAAUUGUUCAAAGACAUGAUUUCAGUGGAUAAAAUAUUCCCAAAUGAGUAUGUCUUGUCUACCGUACUUUCUUCUUGUUCUAGCGGUGGUUUGCUACACGAAGGGCGGCAGUGUCAUGCGUUAGUGUUGAAAGCAGGAUUGGUCUUUCAUCAAUAUGUGAAGAAUGCUCUUCUAUCCUUGUAUACAGUGUCUUCAGAUAUGGAAGGGGUUUUGGAAAUCUUGAAGUCUGUUCCUGGAUUAGACAUCAUUACUUAUAAUUCUAUACUGAAGGGGUUCUUGGAUCAUGGGUAUACAAGUGAAGCGUUGGAUGUUUUCUCAAGGAUGUUGGCUGACGGCUCGGCGGGGGAUAGUGUCAGUUACGUGAACAUAUUUGGUCUUUGUGCUCGCUUCAAGGAUUUGAAGUUGGGUAAGCAAGUUCACUGCAGAAUGCUGAAGUCUGGUCUUCAGCUUGAUGUGUUUCUAAGCAGUGCAAUCAUGGACAUGUACGGAAAGUGUGGUGAAAUUUCAGGUGCAAGAUAUAUUUUUGAUUCUUAAGCGAACCAUAAUGUGGUGUCUUGGACGACAAUCUUGGCUGCAAAUUUCCAAAAUGAAUGCUUUGAGGAAGCCCUGAAACUGUUCUUACGAAUGGAACUUCAGGAUAUUAUUCCAAAUGAAUACACAUUCGCAGUGUUGUUGAAUUCCUGUGCAGGUCUAUCAGCACUUGGUUACGGGAAAACAUUACAUGCACGUGUCGAGAAGACAGGAUAUGGUUUUUUUGUUGUAGUUGGAAAUGCUUUGAUCAAUAUGUAUUUUAGGAAUGGCCAUAUUGAAGCCACUAGGGCCUUGUUUUCAAACAUGAUAUGUCGAGAUACUGUUACUUGGAAUAUGAUAAUAUCAGGUUUCUCUCAUCAUGGGCUUGGUGAGGAAGCAUUGGAUGUGUUUCAGCAUAUGUUAGCUGCCAAAGAGCAACCAAACUAUGUAACCUUUGUCGGGGUUAUUUUGGCUUGUGGACAUUUGGGUAGGAUAGAAGAAGGAUUUUACUACUUGCAGCAUCUAAUGAGGGACAUCGGCCUUGAACCUGGGUUAGAGCACUAUACCUGUGUUGUUGGGCUCCUAGGUAAAGCUGGAACACUUGAUGAGGCUGAGAAUUUCAUGAGGUCGACGCCAAUCACAUGGGAUGUUGUUGCCUGGCGUACUUUGCUUAAUGCUUGUAACGUCCACCGCAAUUAUGGUUUAGGAAAGAGAGUAGCAGAGCAUUUGUUGCAACUGAACCCCAACGACGUGGGAACUUAUAUCCUGUUGUCCAAUAUGCAUGCCAAGGUGAAAAGGUGGGAUGGAGUAGCAAAGAUACGGAAGCUAUUAAGAGAAAGGAACAUAAAGAAAGAACCUGGAUUGAGCUGGACUGAAAUAAGAAAUGAAACUCAUGUGCUUGUUUCUGAUGACACUCAACUCCCAGAGACGGCUCAAAUCCAUGAGAAGGUGAGAAAAUUGUUGGCUGAAAUAAAACCAUUGGGUUAUGUUCCGGACAUAGCUUCUGUCUUGCAUGACGUUGAGCAAGAACAACAAGAGGGUUAUCUGAGUUACCACAGCGAAAAGCUGGCUGUAGCAUAUGCUCUCAUGAAAACACCAUCCCAAGCGCCAAUUCAUGUUAUUAAGAAUCUCAGAAUAUGUGAUGAUUGCCAUUCUGCUUUGAAGCUUAUCUCUAAGGUCACAAUGAGAACGAUAGUUGUAAGAGAUGUCAAUCGAUUCCACAGCUUUCAAGAUGGGUCCUGUUCAUGUGCCGAUUAUUGGUGAAAAAGCACAAGUUUGACAUAAAGUUUCGUACACUGUGUCAAAGGAGAUUUAUGCUUGCUGCUCAUGUUCUCAGCCAACUAGAGAUAGUGAGCUUGAACAAAGCUCUUUUAACUACACAGCCAUGCUAUGCCAACAGAGAAUGAGAUGUUCUGCAAAAUUUUGGGCGGGCAGUUUUCACCGUGGAGACUUGAUUCACAGAAUCCACAUGUAAAUCUUGGACUUCUGUCUAGUUUUCCAGGGAGGAUAUCUAAGCUGUCACGGAUGCUUGGACGCUGAGAAUCACUUCAAAGAUGAUUUUUUGGGUGUAACCAUUCGAUAUCCGGUACUACCGCUGCAUAGGGCCAUUAAAUGGGAAGCGCUCCCUACCCGGAGUUUCUCCAUUUUCAGGACUAAAACUCGAGACCUCUACUUUGAAUUUUAGUGAAGGUAAAUAAAGAUAUUAAUUGUUCGUCUCAACUGUAAUAGGGUGCCUAGGAGGUCAUAUAAUGGUUUAGCAACUUUUGAAUAAAGCUGUUACUUCCCUUUUGAGACAGAUAAUUUGACAAUAUAGCAUGGGAAGGUGUAUCUAAGAAGUAGACAUGAGAAAGGGCUGCCUUCUAGUGCUUGAGAAAGAAGCAUCUUUCCAUACAUCAUACUGCCAAGCCAAAGUGACAGGCUUAUCCUGCUAACAACUCAAUUUACCAGGUUUUUCCUCCUCCGCGAUAAUGCAGGAGGAAAGGUGUAUAGAAGAAACAGACUUGCUAGAAAAAAAAAGAAAAAUUUCUGUUCUCCGAAAUUGCACAAAUGAAGAGAGAUCACUUUACAGUAGCAGGAACAUGUUGUCGCUGUGCAGUCAUUUAUGAUAUUCAUCAUCUUGCAGAAAUGCAGGAUAAGGUUGCGUACAAUAGACCCUUGUGGUCCGGCCCUUUCCCGGACCCGCACCGGACUGCCCUUUUUUAUCAUCUGUUCAAAUAAAAUCUUUAUAACCUUACAUCACAUGGAGCACACAAUGUUGGUCAUGAUAUCAAUAUGUCCAUGAAAAUAAAUAGAAACAUAGAGAUAGCAAAUCUACACUUCUCUGAUCUCCCCUAUCUCUCCGGAACAUGUUAUUGCUAA